Macrostomum lignano is the source of this 70-nucleotide non-coding RNA. The record is from Rfam. NCBI's taxonomy places the organism in Eukaryota, Metazoa, Platyhelminthes, Macrostomidae.
GGGGUUGUAGCCCUGUGGUUAGAGCGUCGGACUCACGACUCGAAGGUCGGGGGUUCGAUUCCCGAUUCCA